GAUUAAGUUAUUAAGGGCGCACGGUGGAUGCCUUGGCACUAGAAGCCGAUGAAGGACGUUACUAACGACGAUAUGCUUUGGGGAGCUGUAAGUAAGCUUUGAUCCAGAGAUUUCCGAAUGGGGAAACCCAGCAUGAGUUAUGUCAUGUUAUCGAUAUGUGAAUACAUAGCAUAUUAGAAGGCACACCCGGAGAACUGAAACAUCUUAGUACCCGGAGGAAGAGAAAGAAAAUUCGAUUCCCUUAGUAGCGGCGAGCGAAACGGGAAGAGCCCAAACCAACAAGCUUGCUUGUUGGGGUUGUAGGACACUCUAUACGGAGUUACAAAGGACGACAUUAGACGAAUCAUCUGGAAAGAUGAAUCAAAGAAGGUAA
RNAcentral lists this ribosomal RNA (373 nucleotides) under Staphylococcus aureus. RNAcentral's name for it is "partial 23S ribosomal RNA". It matches the Rfam family "Bacterial large subunit ribosomal RNA", at positions 1 to 367 of the family's 2925-position model. The record is from RNAcentral. Lineage: Bacteria; Bacillati; Bacillota; Bacilli; Caryophanales; Staphylococcaceae.